This 218-nucleotide ribosomal RNA is filed under the name uncultured bacterium. RNAcentral's name for it is "partial 16S ribosomal RNA". It matches the Rfam family "Bacterial small subunit ribosomal RNA", at positions 122 to 334 of the family's 1533-position model. The record is from RNAcentral.
UAACCUACCCAUCAGAGGGGAUAACACUUGGAAACAGGUGCUAAUACCGCAUAACAGUUUAUGCCGCAUGGCAUAAGAGUGAAAGGCGCUUUCGGGUGUCGCUGAUGGAUGGACCCGCGGUGCAUUAGCUAGUUGGUGAGGUAACGGCUCACCAAGGCCACGAUGCAUAGCCGACCUGAGAGGGUGAUCGGCCACACUGGGACUGAGACACGGCCCAG